RNAcentral lists this ribosomal RNA (497 nucleotides) under uncultured bacterium. RNAcentral's name for it is "partial 16S ribosomal RNA". It matches the Rfam family "Bacterial small subunit ribosomal RNA", at positions 28 to 507 of the family's 1533-position model. The record is from RNAcentral.
GAUGAACGCUGGCGGCGUGCCUAAUACAUGCAAGUCGAGCGAACAGACGAGGAGCUUGCUCCUCUGACGUUAGCGGCGGACGGGUGAGUAACACGUGGAUAACCUACCUAUAAGACUGGGAUAACUUCGGGAAACCGGAGCUAAUACCGGAUAACAUAUUGAACCGCAUGGUUCAAUAGUGAAAGACGGUUUUGCUGUCACUUAUAGAUGGAUCCGCGCCGCAUUAGCUAGUUGGUAAGGUAACGGCUUACCAAGGCAACGAUGCGUAGCCGACCUGAGAGGGUGAUCGGCCACACUGGAACUGAGACACGGUCCAGACUCCUACGGGAGGCAGCAGUAGGGAAUCUUCCGCAAUGGGCGAAAGCCUGACGGGGCAACGCCGCGUGAGUGAUGAAGGUCUUCGGAUCGUAAAACUCUGUUAUUAGGGAAGAACAAAUGUGUAAGUAACUAUGCACGUCUUGACGGUACCUAAUCAGAAAGCCACGGCUAACUACGUG